This 585-nucleotide ribosomal RNA is filed under the name uncultured bacterium. RNAcentral's name for it is "partial 16S ribosomal RNA". It matches the Rfam family "Bacterial small subunit ribosomal RNA", at positions 355 to 1375 of the family's 1533-position model. The record is from RNAcentral.
UGGGGAAUUUUGGACAAUGGGCGAAAGCCUGAUCCAGCAAUGCCGCGUGUGUGAAGAAGGCCUUCGGGUUGUAAAGCACUUUUGUCCGGAAAGAAAUCCUUGGCUCUAAUACAGCCGGGGGAUGACGGUACCGGAAGAAUAAGCACCGGCUAACUACGUGCCAGCAGCCGCGGUAAUGCGUAGGGUGCAAGCGUUAAUCGGAAUUACUGGGCGUAAAGCGUGCGCAGGCGGUUUGCUAAGACCGAUGUGAAAUCCCCGGGCUCAACCUGGGAACUGCAUUGGUGACUGGCAGGCUAGAGUAUGGCAGAGGGGGGUAGAAUUCCACGUGUAGCAGUGAAAUGCGUAGAGAUGUGGAGGAAUACCGAUGGCGAAGGCAGCCCCCUGGGCCAAUACUGACGCUCAUGCACGAAAGCGUGGGGAGCAAACAGGAUUAGAUACCCUGGUAGUCCACGCCCUAAACGAUGUCAACUAGUUGUUGGGGAUUCAUUUCCUUAGUAACGUAGCUAACGCGUGAAGUUGACCGCCUGGGGAGUACGGUCGCAAGAUUAAAACUCAAAUGAAUUGACGGGGUCAUAGCUGUUUCCU